RNAcentral lists this ribosomal RNA (634 nucleotides) under Stutzerimonas stutzeri. RNAcentral describes it as "bacterial SSU rRNA". It matches the Rfam family "Bacterial small subunit ribosomal RNA", at positions 20 to 649 of the family's 1533-position model. The record is from RNAcentral. Lineage: Bacteria; Pseudomonadati; Pseudomonadota; Gammaproteobacteria; Pseudomonadales; Pseudomonadaceae.
UGGCUCAGAUUGAACGCUGGCGGCAGGCCUAACACAUGCAAGUCGAGCGGAUGAGUGGAGCUUGCUCCAUGAUUCAGCGGCGGACGGGUGAGUAAUGCCUAGGAAUCUGCCUGGUAGUGGGGGACAACGUUUCGAAAGGAACGCUAAUACCGCAUACGUCCUACGGGAGAAAGUGGGGGAUCUUCGGACCUCACGCUAUCAGAUGAGCCUAGGUCGGAUUAGCUAGUUGGUGAGGUAAAGGCUCACCAAGGCGACGAUCCGUAACUGGUCUGAGAGGAUGAUCAGUCACACUGGAACUGAGACACGGUCCAGACUCCUACGGGAGGCAGCAGUGGGGAAUAUUGGACAAUGGGCGAAAGCCUGAUCCAGCCAUGCCGCGUGUGUGAAGAAGGUCUUCGGAUUGUAAAGCACUUUAAGUUGGGAGGAAGGGCAGUAAGUUAAUACCUUGCUGUUUUGACGUUACCAACAGAAUAAGCACCGGCUAACUUCGUGCCAGCAGCCGCGGUAAUACGAAGGGUGCAAGCGUUAAUCGGAAUUACUGGGCGUAAAGCGCGCGUAGGUGGUUCGUUAAGUUGGAUGUGAAAGCCCCGGGCUCAACCUGGGAACUGCAUCCAAAACUGGCGAGCUAGAGUAU